RNAcentral lists this ribosomal RNA (301 nucleotides) under uncultured bacterium. Its description in RNAcentral is "partial 16S ribosomal RNA". It matches the Rfam family "Bacterial small subunit ribosomal RNA", at positions 509 to 807 of the family's 1533-position model. The record is from RNAcentral.
CAGCCGCCGCGGUAAUACGUAGGGGGCAAGCGUUAAUCGGAAUUACUGGGCGUAAAGCGUGCGCAGGCGGUUAUAUAAGACAGAUGUGAAAUCCCCGGGCUCAACCUGGGAACUGCAUUUGUGACUGUAUAGCUAGAGUACGGCAGAGGGGGAUGGAAUUCCGCGUGUAGCAGUGAAAUGCGUAGAUAUGCGGAGGAACACCGAUGGCGAAGGCAAUCCCCUGGGCCUGUACUGACGCUCAUGCACGAAAGCGUGGGGAGCAAACAGGAUUAGAUACCCCCGUAGUCCCUGUCUCUUAUAC